This 203-nucleotide microRNA precursor is filed under the name Oryza rufipogon (brownbeard rice). Its description in RNAcentral is "MIR812 microRNA precursor family". It matches the Rfam family "MIR812 microRNA precursor family". Lineage: Eukaryota; Viridiplantae; Streptophyta; Magnoliopsida; Poales; Poaceae. The record is from Rfam by way of RNAcentral.
AAUAAACGCUAGGUUUCUGUGUCCAAUAUUUGACCGUCCGUCUUAUUUGAAAAAAUUAUAGAAAGAAAUAAAAAAGACAAGUCACACAUAAAGUAUUAAUCAUGUUUUAUCAUCUAACAAUAAUAAAAAUACUAAUUAUAAAAAAAAUUUAUAUAAGACAGACAGUUAAAUGUUGAACACGGAAACCCAGUGUUUGUCUUUUU